GCUGGUGUGGCUCAAUUGGCAGAGCAGCUGACUUGUAAUCAGCAGGUUGUAGGUUCGAUUCCUAUCACCAGCUCCA
RNAcentral lists this transfer RNA (76 nucleotides) under Asaccharospora irregularis DSM 2635. RNAcentral describes it as "tRNA_Thr_TGT". It matches the Rfam family "tRNA". Rfam says of the family: Transfer RNA (tRNA) molecules are approximately 80 nucleotides in length. The record is from RNAcentral. Lineage: Bacteria; Bacillati; Bacillota; Clostridia; Peptostreptococcales; Peptostreptococcaceae. RNAcentral also lists the same sequence under 3 other names.